Long non-coding RNA from Drosophila montana, 203 nucleotides. RefSeq lists it as uncharacterized. The record is from RefSeq and is a predicted model, not a curated record. Lineage: Eukaryota; Metazoa; Arthropoda; Insecta; Diptera; Drosophilidae. The transcript has 3 exons.
CCACUUACAAUCUCAUGCAAGCGGACAUUGCAUUAGCUUCACAGGUAUCUCUGCAGGCUAUCUCCACUCAGUUAUUUAAGUUCUCAUUUCUUCACCACCCGAACAACACAAAUAAAGGGAAAGACGUCACCGAAAGUUAUGGCCAACUGCAGCUGGGAACAACGUUGGAGGACAAAUUUAUAAAUCUUAAUUGUGCGAUUGGC